UACGUAGGGUCCGAGCGUUGUCCGGAAUUACUGGGCGUAAAGAGCUCGUAGGCGGUUUGUUGCGUCGGCUGUGAAAUCCCGAGGCUCAACCUCGGGUCUGCAGUCGAUACGAGCAAACUAGAGUGUUGCAGGGGAGACUGGAAUUCCUGGUGUAGCGGUGGAAUGCGCAGAUAUCAGGAGGAACACCGAUGGCGAAGGCAGGUCUCUGGGCCAUUACUGACACUGAGAAGCGAAAGCAUGGGGGAGCGAACAGG
This 254-nucleotide ribosomal RNA is filed under the name uncultured bacterium. RNAcentral describes it as "partial 16S ribosomal RNA". It matches the Rfam family "Bacterial small subunit ribosomal RNA", at positions 524 to 776 of the family's 1533-position model. The record is from RNAcentral.